GCCAGUGUGGUGUAGUGGUUUGAGCACUAAACUACAACUCUGGAGACUAGGGUUCUAAUCUCUGCUCCAUCA
Non-coding RNA from Phrynosoma platyrhinos (Desert horned lizard), 72 nucleotides. Lineage: Eukaryota; Metazoa; Chordata; Lepidosauria; Squamata; Phrynosomatidae. The record is from the annotation of a GenBank genome assembly.